UGACGAGGGGGGCAAGCGUUGUCCGGAAUCAUUGGGCGUAAAGCAGCGCGUAGGACCGGCCCCUGUAAGUCCGCUGUGAAAGCCCAGGGCUCAACCUGGGAGGCGGGUGGAUACUACGGAACUGGAGUACGGAAGAGGAGAUUGGAAUUCCUGGUGUAGCGGUGAAAUGCGCAGAUAUCAGGAGGAACACCAACAGGCGAAGGCAGAUCUCUGGGACGUACUGACGCUGGAGACGCGAAAGCGUGGGGAGCAAACACGG
RNAcentral lists this ribosomal RNA (259 nucleotides) under uncultured bacterium. RNAcentral's name for it is "partial 16S ribosomal RNA". It matches the Rfam family "Bacterial small subunit ribosomal RNA", at positions 523 to 777 of the family's 1533-position model. The record is from RNAcentral.